Molecule: ribosomal RNA, 598 nt
Filed under: Naganishia albida
Lineage: Eukaryota; Fungi; Basidiomycota; Tremellomycetes; Filobasidiales; Filobasidiaceae
Description: eukaryotic LSU rRNA
Rfam family: Eukaryotic large subunit ribosomal RNA
Source: RNAcentral
CGGGGUUUUCCCCUUUGUUCCCGGCGUGUGUAGCGGGAAGAGCUCAAAUUUGAAAUCUGGUAGCCUUCGGUUGCCCGAGUUGUAAUCUAGAGAAGUGUUUUCCGUGCCGGCCCAUGUACAAGUCCCUUGGAACAGGGCGUCAUAGAGGGUGAGAAUCCCGUCCUUGACAUGGACCCCCGGUGCUUUGUGAUACACUUUCAACGAGUCGAGUUGUUUGGGAAUGCAGCUCAAAAUGGGUGGUGAAUUCCAUCUAAAGCUAAAUAUUGGCGAGAGACCGAUAGCGAACAAGUACCGUGAGGGAAAGAUGAAAAGCACUUUGGAAAGAGAGUUAAACAGUACGUGAAAUUGUUGAAAGGGAAACGAUUGAAGUCAGUCAUGCUCUUGGGACUUACCUCCCUUGAGUGGGGUCAACAUCAGUUUUGAUCGAUGGAUAAAGGCACGGGGAAGGUAGCACUCUCGGGUGAACUUAUAGCCUCGCGUCAUAUACAUUGAUUGGGACUGAGGAACGCAGCAUGCCUUAUGGCCGGGAUUCGUCCACGUACAUGCUUAGGAUGUUGACAUAAUGGCUUUAAACGACCCGUCUUGAAACCACGGACCA